Molecule: ribosomal RNA, 484 nt
Filed under: uncultured bacterium
Lineage: Bacteria
Description: partial 16S ribosomal RNA
Rfam family: Bacterial small subunit ribosomal RNA
Source: RNAcentral
AUUGAACGCUGGCGGCAUGCUUUACACAUGCAAGUCGAACGGCAGCGCGGGCUUCGGCCUGGCGGCGAGUGGCGAACGGGUGAGUAAUACAUCGGAACGUGCCCAGUAGUGGGGGAUAGCUCGGCGAAAGCCGGAUUAAUACCGCAUACGACCUGAGGGUGAAAGCGGGGGAUCUUAGGACCUCGCGCUAUUGGAGCGGCCGAUGGCAGAUUAGCUAGUUGGUGGGGUAAAGGCCUACCAAGGCGACGAUCUGUAGCUGGUCUGAGAGGACGACCAGCCACACUGGGACUGAGACACGGCCCAGACUCCUACGGGAGGCAGCAGUGGGGAAUUUUGGACAAUGGGCGAAAGCCUGAUCCAGCAAUGCCGCGUGUGUGAUGAAGGCCUUCGGGUUGUAAAGCACUUUUGGCGGGAAAGAAAAGGACUGUGCCAAUACCACGGUUCGAUGACGGUACCCGCAGAAUAAGCACCGGCUAACUACGUG